GACUGAGGAGUACAAGUGUGAUCAGGCUUCAGGAGGAAGAUCCUGUGGAUGCAGCUGCAAAUCACUCAGAACUCAUUCAUCAACUUCCUUGGAUGAAACUUCUAUUUCAUAAAAUGAACAUUUGUGCUUUGAGACGCCCUCAGUAAACCUUCAACCAUUUUCCAUAAUUGGGGCUUUCCUUACUACAGGUCACUAGUCUGAAAGCAUGUUUUAGCCCUUGAAAAGCACUUGUUCUCUCUUUCUAAAAUAUGCUUUUGUCAAUCUGCACUGAAGUGGAAACUAUACAUUUGUAAAUGAAGAAAAGAACGGGGCUUUAUUAUUUAAAACAGCAAAGGUAAAUCUAAUUGCCUCAAUCCUAACAUCUUACUGUUGUUGUUUUUUUAAAGAAAUCUUUAUGCCAAAAACAGCAAUAAAAUAGACCAAUUCCCA
Chelonia mydas (Green sea turtle) is the source of this 429-nucleotide long non-coding RNA. RefSeq lists it as uncharacterized. The record is from RefSeq and is a predicted model, not a curated record. The transcript is spliced from 2 exons. NCBI's taxonomy places the organism in Eukaryota, Metazoa, Chordata, Testudines, Cheloniidae.